Molecule: ribosomal RNA, 445 nt
Filed under: uncultured bacterium
Lineage: Bacteria
Description: partial 16S ribosomal RNA
Rfam family: Bacterial small subunit ribosomal RNA
Source: RNAcentral
GUGAGGAAUAUUGCGCAAUGGAGGCAACUCUGACGCAGCCAUGCCGCGUGCAGGAAGAAGGCGCUACGCGUUGUAAACUGCUUUUAACCGGGAAGAAACCCCAGGACGUGUCCUGGGUUGACGGUACCGGAGGAAUAAGCACCGGCUAACUUCGUGCCAGCAGCCGCGGUAAUACGAAGGGUGCAAGCGUUAUCCGGAUUCAUUGGGUUUAAAGGGUGCGUAGGCGGAGCGUUAAGUCAGUGGUGAAAUCCUGCAGCUUAACUGUAGACUUGCCAUUGAUACUGGCGCUCUUGAGUGCGCUUGAAGUGGGCGGAAUGUGACGUGUAGCGGUGAAAUGCUUAGAUAUGGCACAGAACACCAAUUGCGAAGGCAGCUCACUAAGGCGAUACUGACGCUGAGGCACGAAAGCGUGGGGAUCGAACAGGAUUAGAUACCCUUGUAGUCC